AUCAAAAAAUUUGAUAAAGUACAUGUGUGGGCGGAGAUAGACAUUAACUGGGACAUAAAUUUAUUGGAAUCAAGAUUGCAAAACGAAUUAGAUUUCUCAAAUGAUCUCAUCCUCGUUCCUGAAGACGGAAGUUGCUCCGGUCACUGUUGAUACUUUUUUCGAAAUAUUCAUUUUUUCUGAAAAUUUCAGAUUCACAGAAAGUUUUCAAGGUCACA
Molecule: non-coding RNA, 215 nt
Organism: Caenorhabditis elegans
Lineage: Eukaryota; Metazoa; Nematoda; Chromadorea; Rhabditida; Rhabditidae
Source: Ensembl